GACGAACGCUGGCGGCGUGCUUAACACAUGCAAGUCGAACGGAAAGGCCCUGCUUUUGUGGGGUGCUCGAGUGGCGAACGGGUGAGUAACACGUGAGUAACCUGCCCUUGACUUUGGGAUAACUUCAGGAAACUGGGGCUAAUACCGGAUAGGAGCUCCUGCUGCAUGGUGGGGGUUGGAAAGUUUCGGCGGUUGGGGAUGGACUCCCGGCUUAUCAGCUUGUUGGUGGGGUAGUGGCUUACCAAGGCUUUGACGGGUAGCCGGCCUGAGAGGGUGGACGGCCACAUUGGGACUGAGGUACGGCCCAGACGGCUACGGGAGGCAGCAGUGGGGAAUAUUGCACAAUGGGCGGAAGCCUGAUGCAGCAACGCCGCGUGCGGGAUGACGGCCUUCGUGUUGUAAACCGCUUUCGCCUGUUACGAAGCGUGAGUGACGGUAAUGGGUGAAGAAGCACCGGCUAACUACGUG
RNAcentral lists this ribosomal RNA (468 nucleotides) under uncultured bacterium. RNAcentral describes it as "partial 16S ribosomal RNA". It matches the Rfam family "Bacterial small subunit ribosomal RNA", at positions 28 to 507 of the family's 1533-position model. The record is from RNAcentral.